Acanthosepion pharaonis is the source of this 107-nucleotide non-coding RNA. The record is from the annotation of a GenBank genome assembly. NCBI's taxonomy places the organism in Eukaryota, Metazoa, Mollusca, Cephalopoda, Sepiida, Sepiidae.
UCCGGCCACAUCACGUUGAAACACUGAUUCCCUUAUGAUCACCGAAGUUAAGCAACGUUUAGCCCGGCCAGACCUAGAUGGGUGACCGCUUCGGAAUAACAGGUGCU